This 424-nucleotide ribosomal RNA is filed under the name uncultured archaeon. RNAcentral describes it as "bacterial SSU rRNA". It matches the Rfam family "Archaeal small subunit ribosomal RNA", at positions 574 to 997 of the family's 1478-position model. The record is from RNAcentral.
CCGAAGACGACUGUCAAACUUGGGACCGGGAGAGGCUAGAGGUACUUCUGGGGUAGGGGUAAAAUCCUGUAAUCCUAGAAGGACCACCGGUGGCGAAGGCGUCUAGCUAGAACGGAUCCGACGGUGAGGGACGAAGCCCUGGGUCGCAAACGGGAUUAGAUACCCCGGUAGUCCAGGGUGUAAACGCUGCCGACUUGGUGUUGGAGGCCCUUCGGGGCAUUCAGUGCCGGAGAGAAGUUGUUAAGUCGGCUACUUGGGGAGUACGUCCGCAAGGAUGAAACUUAAAGGAAUUGGCGGGGGAGCACCGCCAACGGGAGGAGCGUGCGGUUUAAUUGGAUUCAACACCGGAAAACUCACCAAGGGCGACUAUCACAUGAAAGCCAGGCUAACGACCUUGCUUGAUUCUUAGAGUGGAGGUGCAUGG